GCGUGAGUGACGAAGGCCCUAGGGUCGUAAAGCUCUUUCGCCAGGGAAGAUAAUGACGGUACCUGGUAAAGAAACCCCGGCUAACUCCGUGCCAGCAGCCGCGGUAAUACGGAGGGGGUUAGCGUUGUUCGGAAUUACUGGGCGUAAAGCGCACGUAGGCGGACCAUUAAGUUGGGGGUGAAAUCCCGGGGCUCAACCCCGGAACUGCCUUCAAAACUGCUGGUCUUGAGUUCGAGAGAGGUGAGUGGAAUUCCGAGUGUAGAGGUGAAAUUCGU
Molecule: ribosomal RNA, 275 nt
Filed under: uncultured bacterium
Lineage: Bacteria
Description: partial 16S ribosomal RNA
Rfam family: Bacterial small subunit ribosomal RNA
Source: RNAcentral